ACUCCUACGGGAGGCAGCAGUAGGGAAUCUUCGGCAAUGGGGGGAACCCUGACCGAGCAACGCCGCGUGAGUGAAGAAGGUUUUCGGAUCGUAAAGCUCUGUUGUAAGAGAAGAACGUGUGUGAGAGUGGAAAGUUCACACAGUGACGGUAACUUACCAGAAAGGGACGGCUAACUACGUGCCAGCAGCCGCGGUAAUACGUAGGUCCCGAGCGUUGUCCGGAUUUAUUGGGCGUAAAGCGAGCGCAGGCGGUUUGAUAAGUCUGAAGUAAAAGGCUGUGGCUUAACCAUAGUAUGCUUUGGAAACUGUCAAACUUGAGUGCAGAAGGGGAGAGUGGAAUUCCAUGUGUAGCGGUGAAAUGCGUAGAUAUAUGGAGGAACACCGGUGGCGAAAGCGGCUCUCUGGUCUGUAACUGACGCUGAGGCUCGAAAGCGUGGGGAGCAAACAGGAUUAGAUACCCUGGUAGUC
Molecule: ribosomal RNA, 468 nt
Filed under: uncultured bacterium
Lineage: Bacteria
Description: bacterial SSU rRNA
Rfam family: Bacterial small subunit ribosomal RNA
Source: RNAcentral